This 253-nucleotide ribosomal RNA is filed under the name uncultured bacterium. RNAcentral describes it as "partial 16S ribosomal RNA". It matches the Rfam family "Bacterial small subunit ribosomal RNA", at positions 524 to 776 of the family's 1533-position model. The record is from RNAcentral.
UACGUAGGGACCGAGCGUUGUCCGGAAUCAUUGGGCGUAAAGAGCGUGUAGGCGGCCAACUAAGUCCUGCGUGAAAUCUCGGGGCUCAACCCCGAGCGGUCGUGGGAAACUGGUUGGCUAGAGCGCGGGAGAGGAGAGUGGAAUUCCUGGUGUAGCGGUGAAAUGCGCAGAUAUCAGGAAGAACACCCGUGGCGAAGGCGGCUCUCUGGAACGCAACUGACGCUGAGACGCGAAAGCGUGGGGAGCAAACAGG